Molecule: ribosomal RNA, 421 nt
Filed under: uncultured bacterium
Lineage: Bacteria
Description: bacterial SSU rRNA
Rfam family: Bacterial small subunit ribosomal RNA
Source: RNAcentral
UAAGGAAUAUUGGUCAAUGGACGCAAGUCUGAACCAGCCAUGCCGCGUGAAGGAUGAAGGUCCUCUGGAUUGUAAACUUCUUUUAUCUGGGACGAAAACGGGAUUUUUAUCUCAAUUGACGGUACCAGAGGAAUAAGCACCGGCUAACUCCGUGCCAGCAGCCGCGGUAAUACGGAGGGUGCGAGCGUUAUCCGGAUUUACUGGGUUUAAAGGGUGCGUAGGUGGGCUUAUAAGUCAGUGGUGAAAUCUCCGAGCUUAACUUGGAAACUGCCGUUGAUACUAUAGGUCUUGAAUUAUCUGGAGGUAAGCGGAAUAUGUCAUGUAGCGGUGAAAUGCUUAGAUAUGACAUAGAACACCAAUUGCGAUGGCAGCUUACUACAUAUAAAUUGACGCUGAGGCACGAAAGCGUGGGGAUCAAACA